UCGUAUAUUUAAGGUCUUUCCUCUCCGCGAGGAAAGACCUUAUUGUUUUUCUAAUGUUUUUUUUUCUUUUUUUUCUUCCAGCAUUUGUUUGGCUCGCCCUCCUACCGCUUCUAUUGGAGUUAUCAAUACCAAAAUUAAACCAUCGAUAGACCUCAACAUGAACUUUUACCAGAUGAACUUUUGUAGGAUUUCACCUUCCCUUUAAGAAGUUAUCUCCCUUUUAUUGAUUUUUUUCAACAUGGUCCCCCCAAAAUGUGUUAAAAGAUAUCAUGACUUUAUUUGGACAAUAGGUAGAUCUCAUCAUGAUGUAUUACCAUAUGAGGCUGCAUAGGAUUUCAUCAUCUACUUUGAGAGUUAUAUCCCCUUGAAGCAAUUUCUUUUAUUUGCAUUUUUUUCAAAAAGUAUUAGAGAUAGAAUUUAAUUGAAAAUGACAGCAUGUAUUAGAACAGAUGGCAAUGUUUAUAAACAUAAACAAUUAAUUUGUUAUUAACCCUUAUAAGGAGUUAUUUCCCUUUAAAAAUUAAAAAUAUUUUUUCAAAAAUUUAUAUUCGAGAACCGGAAGUCAUAGAGACUUGUAACCUUCACCAAUAAUCUUAAAUUCAUAUGACCUUUAAUAUGCACCCAAGGUCAAAGGUCACCGAGUGCAAAAAAAAAUUACGCUGCAAUUUCAAGCUUACAUAUUAGGAAAACGAUAAGACUUUGCUGCAUACAUACAGCGCAUAAAAUGUUCUUCUCGACGAGCUCUACAUUUUAUACUAUAAGCCCAAAAAUGUCCGACCGUCUGUUCAAAAGUUACAACGGGAUGAUUCUUAAAAAUAUAGUAUUGUGUGUAUAUCUUUUUAAAUGUAACAGAUAUCAACCUACUAUAAAGUGCAAAGAUGAUCAGUAAUUCAAGACCUUCAAUUUGAGGUCAAUGUCAGGUCAUGAUGAAAUUUCACCUUGACCUUCACAUUAUAUACAAUGACCUUGACCUUGUGAUAGUUGAAAGGUUAAGUGGUCCUGAGUUGAAUGGUGCUAGUCCCAUGUCUCUACGACUUCCGGUUCUUAAGUUUAGUAUUGCAUCAUAUAUUUGAUGAUUAAUUGUGACCUUGGUGAACUUUGAAAUUGUCCCAAUUCUUUUUCUAUAAUGUUGUCCUUCAACUGUAGAUCAUUUAUCAUUUAACAGAUUUGAGAUAUCUAUUGUCGUUUUAGAGAUAAUGCAGUUUGAAGUUUUGCGAGCGGAGGCAUGUAUUUCUGAAUCAACAAGAGCUUACCACUUUAAAUGUUUUAGAAAUUGAAGAGGUUAAUAUAGUUAUAUGUUUGCCCAAAUACCAAAAACAUUCCAUGGAAAAUAACGCCAAAAAUUCAAUUUGAAAUUUUCAAGUUUUGCAUUGACUUUGUAAGUUUCAUAACUUCUAUUUAUAUAGUUGAUAUUGCAUCAUUAUUUGCACUUUGUCAAAUGGGGUCAUCUGAUAUAUCAAAUUGAAGGUCUUAAUAAACUCUACUUAAAAAUGAAAAUUUUAAACCCCUUUUCAUCCCAGGGGGGACGGGUGGGGUCAUUUAGUGCAAACAUUCAAAUUUCUCAGAUGGUAAGGUUGUCGCAUAUCAAAUGAAAGAACAUAAAGCGUACAUUUCAAAUUUCAAAUUGACGUCUCCCAAAAAUGGGUUGGAUGGGGUCAUUGAGUGCAAAAACUAAAUUUUCUUUUAAGAUAGGGUUGUUGUAUAUCAAAUGAAAGGUCAUGAUGUGUACAUUUGAAAUAUCAAAUUCCCGACCUCCAAAAAUUAGUUGGAUAGGGUUAUUAAGUGCAAAAAUCAAACUUUCUAGAACAUGGCGUUGUCGCAUAUCAAAUGAAAGCUCAUCUACUCUAUGUUACAUAUAUCAUACUUCCGAUCUCAAAAAUGUAGCCGGAUGAGGUCAUUAAGUGUUAAAAGCAAAAAGUUUCAGAAGGUAUGCUUGUCGUAUAUAAAACGAAAGGUCGUACAAAGUACAUUACGAAAACAUCAAUUUUACAGGAAAGACCUUUCAAUUGUUUUACAAACAAUUGAGAUACUAGUUUUUCUAAUGUUUUUUUUUUUUCUUUUUCUUUUUUUUCUUUUUUUUCUUCCAACAUUUUUUUGACAUGCCCGCCUCUUGUUUCUGUUGAAGUUAUUAAGACCAAAUAUAGACCAUCGCUAGACCUCACCAAGACGUAUUACCAAAUUACUCUGUUAAGGAUUUCAUCAUCCCCUUUAGAAGUUAUCUCCCUUUUAUUGAUUUUUUUUCAACAUGGCCCCCCCUCGUUGGUUUUAAAGAUAUCAUGAC
Molecule: long non-coding RNA, 2281 nt
Filed under: Mytilus galloprovincialis (Mediterranean mussel)
Lineage: Eukaryota; Metazoa; Mollusca; Bivalvia; Mytilida; Mytilidae
Source: RNAcentral